AGAGUUUGAUCCUGGCUCAGAACGAACGCUGGCGGCGCGCCUAAUACAUGCAAGUCGAGCGAGAAGACGUAGCAAUACGUUUGUAAAGCGGCGAACGGGUGAGGAAUACAUGGGUAACCUACCCUCGAGUGGGGAAUAACUAGCCGAAAGGUUAGCUAAUACCGCAUACGACUCUUGGUCUGCGGAUCGAGAGGGAAAGCGAUACCGUGGGUAUCGCGCUCUUGGAUGGGCUCAUGUCCUAUCAGCUUGUUGGUGAGGUAAUGGCUCACCAAGGCUUCGACGGGUAGCUGGUCUGAGAGGACGAUCAGCCACACUGGCACUGCGACACGGGCCAGACUCCUACGGGAGGCAGCAGUAAGGAAUAUUGCGCAAUGGGCGACAGCCUGACGCAGCGACGCCGCGUGGGGGAUGAAGGUCUUCGGAUUGUAAACCCCUUUCGGCAGGGAAGAUGGAACGGGCAACCGUUCGGACGGUACCUGCAGAAGCAGCCACGGCUAACUUCGUGCCAGCAGCCGCGGUAAUAC
Molecule: ribosomal RNA, 524 nt
Filed under: uncultured bacterium
Lineage: Bacteria
Description: bacterial SSU rRNA
Rfam family: Bacterial small subunit ribosomal RNA
Source: RNAcentral